AGCGACAGGCCUAACACAUGCAAGUCGAGGGGCAGCACAAGGAGCAAUCUGAGGUGGCGACCGGCGCACGGGUGAGUAACACGUAUGCAACCUGCCUGUAAGCGGGGAAUAACCCGUUGAAAGACGGACUAAUACCGCAUAAUACUAAAUUACUGCAUGGUAAUUUAUUUAAACAUUUAUGGCUUACAGAUGGGCAUGCGCAUGAUUAGCUAGUUGGAGAGGUAACGGCUCCCCAAGGCAACGAUCAUUAGGGGUUCUGAGAGGAAGGUCCCCCACACUGGUACUGAGACACGGACCAGACUCCUACGGGAGGCAGCAGUGAGGAAUAUUGGUCAAUGGACGAGAGUCUGAACCAGCCAAGUCGCGUGCAGGAAGAAUGUCCCUAUGGAUUGUAAACUGCUUUUGCAGGGGAAUAAAGUGCAUCACGUGUGAUGUUUUGUAUGUACUCUGCGAAUAAGGAUCGGCUAACUCCGUGCCAGCCGCCGC
RNAcentral lists this ribosomal RNA (486 nucleotides) under uncultured bacterium. RNAcentral's name for it is "bacterial SSU rRNA". It matches the Rfam family "Bacterial small subunit ribosomal RNA", at positions 39 to 518 of the family's 1533-position model. The record is from RNAcentral.